CCUACGGGAGGCAGCAGUGGGGAAUAUUGCACAAUGGGGGAAACUCUGAUGCAGCGACGCCGCGUGAGUGAAGAAGUAUUUCGGUAUGUAAAGCUCUAUCAGUAGGGAAGAAAAAGACGGUACCUGACUAAGAAGCCCCGGCUAACUACGUGCCAGCAGCCGCGGUAAUACGUAGGGGGCAAGCGUCAUCCGGAUUUACUGGGUGGAAGGGGAGCGUAGACGGCGCGGCAAGUCUGAAGUGAAAGGCAGGGGCUUAACCCAUGAACUGCUUUGGAAACUGCCAUGCUGGAGUGCAGGAGAGGAAAGUGGAAUUCCUAGUGUAGCGGUGAAAUGCGUAGAUAUUAGGAGGAACACCAGUGGCGAAGGCGGCUUACUGGACAGUAACUGACGUUGAGGCUCGAAAGCGUGGGGAGCAAACAGGAUUAGAUACCCUAGUAGUC
RNAcentral lists this ribosomal RNA (440 nucleotides) under uncultured bacterium. Its description in RNAcentral is "partial 16S ribosomal RNA". It matches the Rfam family "Bacterial small subunit ribosomal RNA", at positions 338 to 795 of the family's 1533-position model. The record is from RNAcentral.